GGCGAGUGAACCGGGAAGAGCUCAAAUUUGAAAUCUGGCGUCCUCAGGGCGUCCGAGUUGUAAUCUAUAGAGGCGUUUUCCGUGCCGGACCGUGUCCAAGUUCCUUGGAACAGGAUAUCAAAGAGGGUGACAAUCCCGUACUUGACACGACGACCGGUGCUCUGUGAUACGUCUUCUACGAGUCGAGUUGUUUGGGAAUGCAGCUCAAAAUGGGUGGUGAGUUCCAUCUAAAGCUAAAUAUUGGCGAGAGACCGAUAGCGAACAAGUACCGUGAGGGAAAGAUGAAAAGCACUUUGGAAAGAGAGUUAAACAGUACGUGAAAUUGUUGAAAGGGAAACGAUUGAAGUCAGUCGUGACCGAGAGGCUCAGCCGGUUCUGCCGGUGUAUUCCCCUCGGUCGGGUCAACAUCAGUUUUGUCCGGUGGAUAAGGGCGGUAGGAAGGUGGCACCCUCGGGUGUGUUAUAGCCUGCCGUCGCAUACAUCGGGUGAGACUGAGGAACGCAGCUCGCCUUUAUGGCCGGGGUUCGCCCACGUCCGAGCUUAGGAUGUUGACAUAAUGGCUUUAAACGACCCGUCUUGAACAACC
Molecule: ribosomal RNA, 586 nt
Filed under: Papiliotrema laurentii
Lineage: Eukaryota; Fungi; Basidiomycota; Tremellomycetes; Tremellales; Rhynchogastremaceae
Description: LSU rRNA
Rfam family: Eukaryotic large subunit ribosomal RNA
Source: RNAcentral